GGCUAACUACGUGCCAGCAGCCGCGGUAAUACGUAGGUCCCGAGCGUUAUCCGGAAUUAUUGGGCGUAAAGGGCACGUAGGCGGACAAAUAAAGUUUGAUGUCAAAUAUGAUGGCUCAACCAUCAAGAGGCGUUGAAAACUGUUUAUCUAGAAUCUCGGAGAGGUAAGUGGAAUUCCAUGUGUAGCGGUGGAAUGCGUAGAUAUAUGGAGGAACACCAAUGGCGAAGGCAGCUUACUGGACGAAGAUUGACGCUGAGGUGCGAAAGCGUGGGUAGCAAACAGGAUUAGAUACCCUGGUAG
This 300-nucleotide ribosomal RNA is filed under the name uncultured bacterium. RNAcentral describes it as "bacterial SSU rRNA". It matches the Rfam family "Bacterial small subunit ribosomal RNA", at positions 495 to 793 of the family's 1533-position model. The record is from RNAcentral.